ACCGAGCCUGCAGGGAGAGAGGCCUCCAAGUUCCUGCUGAACCACUCAACAGCUUAAAAUACAACCAGCCCUCUCCCUGCCUGCCAGCUGGUGGGGAAGGGCUGAAAUCCUACCCUCCAGGACCAGGGCCCAGGAGGAGAGGACGGCUGUCGGGGCCCCAACUGGCUGCUGGGAGAGGAAGCUGGACAGCAGGCAAGUGUGGUCAAGAGAGGGGCCACACUCCCAGCAGCCACUCCCUGGGCCACUGCGCCCAGGCCGGCCAGGCCAGAGGACAGGAGAAGCUGAACCCUCAGAGAGCCAGCCCCGUGCUUCCCAGGCUCUUCCCAUCUGGGAGCCUGACUCAGUGGCUUCAAGGUAGAGGACCACGUCUAGUACUUGGGACAAGGGGCUGGAAGAGGCCAAAGAAUCAGCAUGGAUUCAGGGUCACCCUCAGCACCUCCCACUUCUGCACCUGGAACCUCCUCACAUCCUAAGAUGGGACCCGCUUGACGGGAAAGCACUGUCAGAUCAGAAAGCUGGAAGAGGCCAGAGAUGCUGACCCAUGCGGGCGGACACAGCCUGAUCAGAGCAGCAGGAGGAACUCAUCCGGACCGAACCGGCGACCUGUGCCCAGCACUCCCAACCCAGGUGCCGAGGGCAGCCCCAGGUCUGCUGCUGAGACACCAUCAACAGUUGCUCCCUCUAGAACCCAGAGAUCUGACAUCAGGGAGAUGGCGAGAAGUCCUGAAAGGUAGAUCUCUGAAUCAUAGGGGAGUGGGGCGGGGCGGGGGAGCAACCUGCUGCCAUGUGUGGAUGAGUCAUUGCUGAACCCUUAAUGAUCCAGAUUCAGUUCUAGAAACUUCUGAAGCUACAUUUUUUGGGGACUUCCAAGUAACAGCCAAGGCUAUGGUCUUCAGAAACUCAGUAUCUUUUUCACUGUGCCCAUGUGGACAAAACAGAUGAAAACACAAAGGUGUUUUAUAACUGCACUUUCAAAAGCACCUAUCUUCUGUUAGUAGUUGUGGGGCUCACAGUAUCUUGAAACCCUUUGUGUCCCAACAGGCCACCUUGCUGCCCUAUAAGGGGGACAGGGGAGUACUCUGAUGCCACAGGUUAAAAUCCUACCAAGUUGAGUUACUUGAGAUGUCUAAUUGAGGUGCUGAAGGAGCAAGAUUGAACCCCUAAAACCUAGCCACAUUUUGCUACUUUACCAGUUGUAGUGAUUUGUAGCUUCUCCUGUGUGGCCUGAGUAGACACAUCUUCCCGAUCACUAGGUACCAGAUAGAUAAUGUGGUGUUGUGGCCAAAUAAAUGACAUUGGACAGACUGCACAUACAUUUCUACAGACUGGAACAUUCUGGAGUUCCUUUUUUGAGACUGCUUUCCUGAGCUGCACACUCAUUCAACAGGAACCAAAUUAUUUUAUGAACCUACUAUGUUAUGUGUCAUCAGAGGCACACAAAUAAUUUCCACCCUGCUCACCCACAAGAGGCUCAUAGGAAGGCAGGAACAAGCCUCUGGAGAAUUCUUUACUUUUGACAAUUAGUGCAGGAGUGAGAAUCCCUUGCUGACUUCAUCUGGCUUCCAGUAACCAGGCUGUCGGCAAAAAUCAAAUCCACCCUUGAAUGAAUACUGGCCACUUUAAACAGCCAUUCGUGACACUGUACUGUAGCUCUGGCUGUGGCUGUCAUUAGGGACAACGCGAUCGUGCUUGUGCCCUCAGCAUCCCCAGCACAGUGGUGAAUUUAAACAGUGACAAGUAGACACAUUUGGUGCUUGCUGAUCCGACUGCAACAAGCCCCUGAGAGUAGUUUCCAAAUGGAAAAUUCCAGAAAGAUCUUGCAUUUGGCAGCUCUGAAAGAUAAGCAGGGCCUCCUGGGGUCUCAGAUUUGGGUGAACCCACAGUCAUUUGGACAUCAAAGAGCUGGUAUGUUCAGUAGUAUCUGGCUCCUUUUGUAUUUUCCACAUGCAGGAAAGGUAGGAUCUUGAUUUUCCCAGAACCUGGUUUAGCUGGUUUGCAGGAGCAGGACAGAGCUGGUUCAGAGAAUGUGGGGAAGGUGAAGCAAAGAUCAGACAAGCUAGGGCUGGUUAGCAACCUUCCAUUGUGUCAGGAGUCCCAGAGGGAGAUCUCCGAAAGCCUGCUCUGUUUCGCCAUUUUUAUUUUUUGUUAAGCCAGUGUGAGAUCUUUUUUCUCCUUUGUUUUUUCAUUGAGGUAUAUUUUACAUACAGUAAAAUUCACCUUUCUCAGUGUAUAGUUCUGAAUACAGACAGCUGUAUAACCACCCCAGUCAAGAUAUAGAGCAUUUUCAUCAUCCCAAAAAUUUCUCCUGUACCUCUCUUUAGCAGAUCCCAGUUCCUGGCAACCACUUUCUGCCCCCAAUACUUUUGCCUUUUCCAGGAGGUCCUAUAAAAUGUCAUCACACAGUAAAUAGCUUUUUGAGUUAGCCUUCUUUCACUAACAAUGUAUUUGAGGUUUAUCUGCAUUAUUUCCUGUAUCAGUAUCUUGUUUUCCUUUUUAGGGCUGAAUAGUAUUCCCUCUUGUUGCUGGAUCAGUUUGUUCAUCCAUUCAUCUACUGAAAGACACUUAGGUUUUAAUGGCUUUCAGUAAUAAUGAAUAAAACCUUGAUAAACAUUGGUACAUGGGUUUUAUGUGAACAUGGGUUUUUUUUUUCCACAGCAGCUUUAUUCAAAAUAACCAAAAAUGUUCAUUCAGUGAUGAAUGGAUAAACAAACCAUGGUAUAUCCAUGCAAUGGAAUACUUCUCAGCAAUAAAAAAGAGUGAGUGAACUUGGGUUUUUAUUUCACAUGGGUAUUCAACCAAGGGUGAGAAUGCUGGCUUAUCUGGCAGUAGUGUUUUUGAAUGCAUUCUUGAUGAAGAGAAGAAUUGAAAAGAGUGCAUUUUCCUAAAUUAAAGCUUUACCGUUAUCUGAAUCAUAUCUUACACGAGCUGAGUGCUUUUACCAGAAGCACUCUGUGUGCUAAACACUCCACACUUCAGCAUCUUACUCCCUGGAUGACCUCAGUCAAGUCACGUGAGUGCUCAGAGCCUGGUUUCCCCACUUGUAAAAUGAAGGUAACAUUAGGCCAACCUCCCAGGGUAAUUGCGAGGAUUAUAUGGGUUAAUACACACUGAGCACUUAAAAAUGGCUUGGCACAUAGUAGGGCCAUGCCCAUGUUAACUGAUACUAUAGUGUUCAUUUCUUGGCCCCUCUUAACUUCAACCACAUAGCAACCCUAGGUAGUAAGAGCAAGCAAGUUGUGUUAAGAUCGCACAGGCAGUAAAUAAAUAAAUAGUGGGUCCAGGAUUUCGCAGAGGGAGGGAAACAUCAAUGUGCAAAAGAAAUAUGGAUCAGUUCCUCUCACACACCCCUAACUGCUGACCUUUCAGUUCACUGUUGGGCGCUCAACCCACUGAGCCACAAAGGCUGGAAACUCAUAGGAGCUGAUACUUCUUCCUCAGGAAAACCUCAGUAUUUCUUGUGUUUUUUUUAAGUUAAUUUUUGAUUUUUAAAAUUUUUUUCCAAUUACAAUUUACAUUCAAUAGUAUUUUGUAUUUAGUUUCAGGUAUACAGCAUAGUGGUUAGAUAAUCAUAUACUUAUCAAAGUGUUCCCACUGAUACUUCCAAUACCAAACUGUCACUAUACAUACUCAUUGCAAUAUCAUCAACUAUAUUUCCUAUGCUGCACUUUAUACCCUCAUGACUAUUCUGUAACUGCCAAUCAACACUUCUCAAUCCUUUCACCUUCUUCACCUGGUCCAGCAACCCCCUCUUUCCUGUUUCUGGUUGGUUGGUUG
Long non-coding RNA from Pteronotus mesoamericanus, 3774 nucleotides. RefSeq lists it as uncharacterized. NCBI's taxonomy places the organism in Eukaryota, Metazoa, Chordata, Mammalia, Chiroptera, Mormoopidae. The record is from RefSeq and is a predicted model, not a curated record. The transcript has 4 exons.